Molecule: ribosomal RNA, 468 nt
Filed under: uncultured bacterium
Lineage: Bacteria
Description: partial 16S ribosomal RNA
Rfam family: Bacterial small subunit ribosomal RNA
Source: RNAcentral
GACGAACGCUGGCGGCGUGCUUAACACAUGCAAGUCGAACGGAAAGGCCCUGCUCUUGCGGGGUGCUCGAGUGGCGAACGGGUGAGUAACACGUGAGUAACCUGCCCUUGACUUUGGGAUAACUUCAGGAAACUGGGGCUAAUACCGGAUAGGAGCUCCUGCUGCAUGGUGGGGGUUGGAAAGUUUCGGCGGUUGGGGAUGGACUCGCGGCUUAUCAGCUUGUUGGUGUGGUAGUGGCUGACCAAGGCUUUGACGGGUAGCCGGCCUGAGAGGGUGAACGGCCACCUUGGGACUGAGAUACGGACCAGACUCCUACGGGAGGCAGCAGUGGGGAAUAUUGCACAAUGGGCGGAAGCCUGAUGCAGCAGCGCCGCGUGCGGGAUGACGGCCUUCGGGUGGUAAACCGAUUUCGCCGGUGACGAAGCGUGAGUGACGGUAAUGGGUAAAGAAGCACCGGCUAACUACGUG